This 221-nucleotide ribosomal RNA is filed under the name Clostridioides difficile. Its description in RNAcentral is "partial 23S ribosomal RNA". It matches the Rfam family "Bacterial large subunit ribosomal RNA", at positions 1095 to 1323 of the family's 2925-position model. Lineage: Bacteria; Bacillati; Bacillota; Clostridia; Peptostreptococcales; Peptostreptococcaceae. The record is from RNAcentral.
AGGAUGUUGGCUUAGAAGCAGCCACUCAUUCAAAGAGUGCGUAAUAGCUCACUGGUCGAGUGAUCCUGCGCCGAAGAUUUCCGGGGCUAAAACUUACUACCGAAGCUACGGCAUCAGUAAUGAUGGGGAGGGGAGCUUCCCAUACGGGUUGAAGCAUGACCGUAAGGACAUGUGGACAGUAUGGGAGUGAGAAUGUUGGCAUGAGUAGCGAGAUGUGGGUG